This 392-nucleotide ribosomal RNA is filed under the name uncultured bacterium. Its description in RNAcentral is "partial 16S ribosomal RNA". It matches the Rfam family "Bacterial small subunit ribosomal RNA", at positions 523 to 918 of the family's 1533-position model. The record is from RNAcentral.
AUACGGAGGAUGCGAGCGUUAUCCGGAUUUAUUGGGUUUAAAGGGAGCGUAGGCGGGAGCUUAAAUCAGCGGUUAAAUGGUGCGGCUCAACCGUGCCCUGCCGUUGAAACUGGGUUUCUUGAGAGUGCAAGAGGCGGAUGGAAUUCAUGGUGUAGCGGUGGAAUGCUUAGAUAUCAUGAAGAACUCCGAUUGCGAAGGCAGUCCGCUGGGGCACGUCUGACGCUGAUGCUCGAAGGUGCGGGAAUCAAACAGGAUUAGAUGCCCUGGUAGUCCGCACGGUAAACGAUGAUUACCCGCUGUCGGCGGUAGACAGUCGGCGGCCAAGCGAAAGCGAUAAGUAAUCCACCUGGGGAGUACGCCGGCAACGGUGAAACUCAAAUGAAUUGACGGGG